AUGCGUGGGCGAGAGGCGGCGAGGAGCUUGGAGCAUUUUGCAGGUGCCACGGCUGAGGUGCACGUUGACGGCUUCUCCGGCAGUUUCAAGUUGUUGUUCGUUCUCGUUGGUCUUAGUCGCAGUGGCUAUUGCAUUUUUCUGCAAAAACAAAACAAAAAGAUAAAUAGUGAUGAGCAGUGGCUUCAAGAUUCAAAUGCAACUCAUGUUUAUUUUUCCUUCUUCGAAUUGUUCAUCCUUUUUUCUUUGAAUUCCGUCUCCACAGGUUGUUGUAAAUUGUUGGAUUUUGGCGUAACAAGUUUGUGGAUUAUGGUUUUAGAAAAUGGUUGUAUAUACAAAGUGGGUAUGUAG
Molecule: non-coding RNA, 348 nt
Organism: Vicia faba (fava bean)
Lineage: Eukaryota; Viridiplantae; Streptophyta; Magnoliopsida; Fabales; Fabaceae
Source: the annotation of a GenBank genome assembly